RNAcentral lists this ribosomal RNA (743 nucleotides) under Ruegeria sp. AU100B_Ted2_MB. RNAcentral's name for it is "bacterial SSU rRNA". It matches the Rfam family "Bacterial small subunit ribosomal RNA", at positions 56 to 849 of the family's 1533-position model. Lineage: Bacteria; Pseudomonadati; Pseudomonadota; Alphaproteobacteria; Rhodobacterales; Roseobacteraceae. The record is from RNAcentral.
UGCAGUCGAGCGCACCUUCGGGUGAGCGGCGGACGGGUUAGUAACGCGUGGGAACAUACCCUUUGGUACGGAAUAGCCUCUGGAAACGGAGAGUAAUACCGUAUGAGCCCUUCGGGGGAAAGAUUUAUCGCCAAAGGAUUGGCCCGCGUUAGAUUAGGUAGUUGGUGGGGUAAUGGCCUACCAAGCCUACGAUCUAUAGCUGGUUUUAGAGGAUGAUCAGCAACACUGGGACUGAGACACGGCCCAGACUCCUACGGGAGGCAGCAGUGGGGAAUCUUGGACAAUGGGGGCAACCCUGAUCCAGCCAUGCCGCGUGAGUGAUGAAGGCCUUAGGGUCGUAAAGCUCUUUCGCCUGUGAAGAUAAUGACGGUAGCAGGUAAAGAAACCCCGGCUAACUCCGUGCCAGCAGCCGCGGUAAUACGGAGGGGGUUAGCGUUGUUCGGAAUUACUGGGCGUAAAGCGCACGUAGGCGGACUGGAAAGUUGGGGGUGAAAUCCCAGGGCUCAACCCUGGAACUGCCUCCAAAACUAUCAGUCUAGAGUUCGAGAGAGGUGAGUGGAAUUCCGAGUGUAGAGGUGAAAUUCGUAGAUAUUCGGAGGAACACCAGUGGCGAAGGCGGCUCACUGGCUCGAUACUGACGCUGAGGUGCGAAAGUGUGGGGAGCAAACAGGAUUAGAUACCCUGGUAGUCCACACCGUAAACGAUGAAUGCCAGUCGUCGGGUAGCAUGCUAUUCGGUGACAC